CCAAUAGCGUAUAUUAAAGUUGUUGCAGUUAAAAAGCUCGUAGUUGAAUUUCGGGAUUGACACAUCGGUCGUGCCUUAAGGGGUGUGAACUGGUGUAGUCAAUUUCUCACCUUCUGGAGAACCGCGAUGUCCUUAAUUGGGUGCCGCGAGGAACCAGGACCUUUACUUUGAAAAAAUUAGAGUGUUUAAAGCAGGCAUUUUUGCUUGAAUACAUUAGCAUGGAAUAAUAAAAUAGGACGGCAUGAUUCUAUUUUGUUGGUUUCUAGGAUCACCGUAAUGAUUAAUAGGGAUAGUUGGGGGCAUUAGUAUUCAAUUGUCAGAGGUGAAAUUCUUGGAUUUAUUGAAGACUAACUACUGCGAAAGCAUUUGCCAAGGAUGUUUUCAUUAAUCAAGAACGAAAGUUAGGGGAUCGAAGACGAUCAGAUACCGUCGUAGUCUUAACCAUAAACUAUGCCAACUAGGAAUCAGASGAUGUUAAUUUUUUAAUGACUCG
This 493-nucleotide ribosomal RNA is filed under the name uncultured Glomeromycotina. RNAcentral describes it as "SSU rRNA". It matches the Rfam family "Eukaryotic small subunit ribosomal RNA", at positions 593 to 1089 of the family's 1831-position model. Lineage: Eukaryota; Fungi; Glomeromycota. The record is from RNAcentral.